This 301-nucleotide ribosomal RNA is filed under the name uncultured bacterium. RNAcentral describes it as "partial 16S ribosomal RNA". It matches the Rfam family "Bacterial small subunit ribosomal RNA", at positions 509 to 807 of the family's 1533-position model. The record is from RNAcentral.
CAGCAGCCGCGGGAAUACGAAGGGUGCAAGCGUUACUCGGAAUUACUGGGCGUAAAGCGUGUGUAGGUGGUUGUUUAAGUCUGUUGUGAAGUCCCCGGGCUCAACCUGGGAAUAGCAAUGGAUACUGGCAAGCUAGAGUGUGUCAGAGGAUGGUGGAAUUCCCGGUGUAGCGGUGAAAUACGUAGAGAUCGGGAGGAACAUCAGUGGCGAAGGCGGCCAUCUGGGACAACACUGACGCUGAGGCACGAAAGCGUGGGGAGCAAACAGGAUUAGAUACCCCUGUAGUCCCUGUCUCUUAUAC